UUCCUACGGGGGGCAGCAGUGGGGAAUAUUGGACAAUGGGGGGAACCCUGAUCCAGCAAUGCCGCGUGUGUGAAGAAGGCCUGAGGGUUGUAAAGCACUUUCAGUGGGGAGGAGGACUAGGAGAUUAAGAGUCACCGAGUUGGACGUUACCCACAGAAGAAGCACCGGCUAACUCCGUGCCAGCAGCCGCGGUAAUACGGAGGGUGCGAGCGUUAAUCGGAAUUACUGGGCGUAAAGGGUGCGUAGGUGGUUAAAUAAGUUAGAUGUAAAAACCCUGGGCUUAACCUAGGACUGAGAUUUAAUACUGUUUAACUAGAGUAUAGGAGAGGGUAGUGGAAUUUCCGGUGUAGCGGUGAAAUGCGUAGAGAUCGGAAGGAACACCAGUGGCGAAGGCGGCUACCUGGCCUGAUACUGACACUGAGGCACGAAAGCGUGGGGAGCAAACAGGAUUAGAUACCCGAGUAGUCG
RNAcentral lists this ribosomal RNA (468 nucleotides) under uncultured Legionellaceae bacterium. Its description in RNAcentral is "bacterial SSU rRNA". It matches the Rfam family "Bacterial small subunit ribosomal RNA", at positions 336 to 796 of the family's 1533-position model. The record is from RNAcentral. Lineage: Bacteria; Pseudomonadati; Pseudomonadota; Gammaproteobacteria; Legionellales; Legionellaceae.